ACUUAAGCAUAUCAAUAAGCGGAGGAAAAGAAACUAACAAGGAUUCCCCUAGUAACUGCGAGUGAAGAGGGAAAAGCUCAAAUUUGUAAUCUGGCGGCCUUUGGCCRUCCGAGUUGUAAUCUAGAGAAGUGCUACCUGCCCUGGACCAUGUACAAGUCUCCUGGAAUGGAGCAUCAUAGAGGGUGAGAAUCCCGUCUUUGACAUGGACUGCCAGAGCUUUAUGGGUGCGCUCUCAAAGAGUCGAGUUGUUUGGGAAUGCAGCUCAAAAUGGGUGGUAAAUGCCAUCUAAAGCUAAAUAUUGGCGAGAGACCGAUAGCGAACAAGUACCGUGAGGGAAAGAUGAAAAGAACUUUGGAAAGAGAGUUAAACAGUACGUGAAAUUGCUGAAAGGGAAACGCUUGAAGUCAGUCGCGUCGGUCGGAAAUCAACCUUGCUUUUGCUGGGCGUACUUUCCGUUCGAYGGGUCAGCAUCAAUUUUGGUCGCUGGAUAAAGUUCUUGGGAAUGUGGCAUCUUUUGAUGUGUUAUAGCCCUCGAACAUAUGCAGCGGUUGGGAUUGAGGAACUCAGCACGCCGCGAGGCUGGGGCUUGUCCCACAAUACGUGCUCAGGAUGCUGGCAUAAUGGCUUUAAUCGACCCGUCUUGAAACACGGACCAAGGAGUCUAACAUGCUUGCGAGUGUUUGAGUGGAAAACUCAUGCGCGUAAUGAAAGUGAUAGUUGAGAUCCCCGUCGUGGGGAGCAUCGAUGCCCAGACCAGACCUUUUGUGACGGAUCUGCGGUAGAGCAUGCAUGUUGGGACCCGAAAGAUGGUGAACUAUGCCUGAAUAGGGUGAAGCCAGAGGAAACUCUGGUGGAGGCUCGUAGCGAUUCUGACGUGCAAAUCGAUCGUCAAAUUUGGGUAUAGGGGCGAAAGACUAAUCGAACCAUCUAGUAGCUGGUUCCUGC
This 945-nucleotide ribosomal RNA is filed under the name Inosperma aff. latericium PBM-2012. RNAcentral's name for it is "eukaryotic LSU rRNA". It matches the Rfam family "Eukaryotic large subunit ribosomal RNA", at positions 32 to 961 of the family's 3401-position model. Lineage: Eukaryota; Fungi; Basidiomycota; Agaricomycetes; Agaricales; Inocybaceae. The record is from RNAcentral.